GUGGGGAAUCUUAGACAAUGGGGGAAACCCUGAUCUAGCCAUGCCGCGUGAGCGAUGAAGGCCUUAGGGUUGUAAAGCUCUUUCAGCUGGGAAGAUAAUGACUGUACCAGCAGAAGAAGCCCCGGCUAACUCCGUGCCAGCAGCCGCGGUAAUACGGAGGGGGCUAGCGUUGUUCGGAAUUACUGGGCGUAAAGCGAACGUAGGCGGACCGGAAAGUCAGAGGUGAAAUCCCAGGGCUCAACCUUGGAACUGCCUGUGAAACUCCUGGUCUUGAGGUCGAGAGAGGUGAGUGGAAUUCCGAGUGUAGAGGUGAAAUUCGUAGAUAUUCGGAGGAACACCAGUGGCGAAGGCGGCUCACUGGCUCGAUACUGACGCUGAGGUGCGAAAGCGUGGGGAUCAAACAGGAUUAGAAACCCGUGUAGUCC
This 425-nucleotide ribosomal RNA is filed under the name uncultured bacterium. Its description in RNAcentral is "partial 16S ribosomal RNA". It matches the Rfam family "Bacterial small subunit ribosomal RNA", at positions 354 to 796 of the family's 1533-position model. The record is from RNAcentral.